AAGUCGUAACAAGGUUUCCGUAGGUGAACCUGCGGAAGGAUCAUUAUUGAAUAUUCCUGAUGAGUUGUAGCUGGCUCUUUGGAGCAUGUGCACGCUUGUCUUGAUCUUAUUCAUCCACCUGUGCACAUUUUGUAGUCUUUUGGGCUGAGUCGAGUAUCGGAUGGAUGUCUAUCCGGAUGUGAGGACUGCUGAGUGCGAAAGCAUACGGCUCUUCUCUGUUUGACCUCACCCUUGAGUACUAUGUAUUCAUAUACCACAUAGUAUGUUGUAGAAUGUGAUCAUUGGGCCUUUGUGCCUAUAAUAAUCAUAUACAACUUUCAGCAACGGAUCUCUUGGCUCUCGCAUCGAUGAAGAACGCAGCGAAAUGCGAUAAGUAAUGUGAAUUGCAGAAUUCAGUGAAUCAUCGAAUCUUUGAACGCACCUUGCGCUCCUUGGUAUUCCGAGGAGCAUGCCUGUUUGAGUGUCAUUAAAUUCUCAACCCCACUAGCUUUUGUGAGCUAUGCUGGGGCUUGGAUGUUGGGAGUUUGCGGGCCUUUACUAGGUCGGCUCUCCUGAAAUACAUUAGCGGAACCGUUUGCAGCCCCGUCACUAGUGUGAUAAUUAUCUACACUGUGAUGACUGCUCUCUGACUAGUUCAGCUGCUAAUCGUCCACUGUGGACAAUCAUUAAUGAACUUCUUGACCUCAAAUCAGGUAGGACUACCCGCUGAACUUAAGCAUAUCAAUAAGCGGAGGAAAAGAAACUAACAAGGAUUCCCCUAGUAACUGCGAGUGAAGCGGGAAAAGCUCAAAUUUAAAAUCUGGUGGUCUUUGGCCAUCCGAGUUGUAAUUUAGAGAA
RNAcentral lists this unclassified non-coding RNA (837 nucleotides) under uncultured Morganella. Its description in RNAcentral is "sequence contains ITS1, 5.8S rRNA gene and ITS2". The stretch from base 313 to 466 matches the Rfam family "5.8S ribosomal RNA". Lineage: Eukaryota; Fungi; Basidiomycota; Agaricomycetes; Agaricales; Lycoperdaceae. The record is from RNAcentral.